UGUCGGGGUAACGGCCCAACAAGCCAGUAAUCGGUACGGGUUGUGGGAGCAAGAGCCCGGAGUUGGAUUCUGAGACACGAAUCCAGGCCCUACGGGGCGCAGCAGGCGCGAAAACUUUACAAUGCGGGCAACCGUGAUAAGGGAACCUCGAGUGCCUGUAUAUGCAGGCUGUCUGGGUGUCUAAAACACACCUAAAGAAAGGGCCGGGCAAGACCGGUGCCAGCCGCCGCGGUAAUACCGGCGGCUCGAGUGGUGGCCACUUUUAUUGGGCUUAAAGCGUUCGUAGCUGGGUUAUUAAGUCCCUUGGGAAAUCCGACGGCUUAACCGUCGGGCGUCUAAGGGAUACUGGUAAUCUUGGAACCGGGAGAGGUGAGGGGUACUUCGGGGGUAGGAGUGAAAUCCUGUAAUCCUCGAGGGACCACCUGUGGCGAAGGCGCCUCACCAGAACGGCUUCGACAGUGAGGGACGAAAGCUGGGGGAGCAAACCGGAUUAGAU
This 496-nucleotide ribosomal RNA is filed under the name uncultured microorganism. RNAcentral describes it as "bacterial SSU rRNA". It matches the Rfam family "Archaeal small subunit ribosomal RNA", at positions 234 to 734 of the family's 1478-position model. The record is from RNAcentral.